UACAGGGGAUGCAAACGUUGCUCGGAAUCAUUGGGCGUAAAGCGCACGUAGGCGGUUCGUUAUGUCGGAUGUGAAAGCCCUUGGCUUAACCGAGGAAGUGCAUCCGAAACUGGCGAGCUAGAGUACUAAAGAGGAUCGCGGAAUUCCCGGUGUAGAGGUGAAAUUCGUAGAUAUCGGGAGGAACACCGGUGGCGAAGGCGGCGAUCUGGGUAGAUACUGACGCUGAGGUGCGAAAGCGUGGGGAGCAAACAGG
This 253-nucleotide ribosomal RNA is filed under the name uncultured bacterium. Its description in RNAcentral is "partial 16S ribosomal RNA". It matches the Rfam family "Bacterial small subunit ribosomal RNA", at positions 524 to 776 of the family's 1533-position model. The record is from RNAcentral.